RNAcentral lists this transfer RNA (70 nucleotides) under Rubrivivax sp. RNAcentral describes it as "tRNA-Ser". The record is from RNAcentral. Lineage: Bacteria; Pseudomonadati; Pseudomonadota; Betaproteobacteria; Burkholderiales; Sphaerotilaceae.
GCGGAGAUAUGGAGAGCUGCAAAAUCAGCCUUCACACGGCAGGGGUCGCAGGUUCGAACCCUGCACCGCC